GACGAACGCUGGCGGCGUGCUUAACACAUGCAAGUCGAACGGAAAGGCCCUGCUUGCAGGGUACUCGAGUGGCGAACGGGUGAGUAACACGUGGGUGAUCUGCCCUGCACUUCGGGAUAAGCCUGGGAAACUGGGUCUAAUACCGGAUAGGAGCCAUUUUUAGUGUGAUGGUUGGAAAGUUUUUUCGGUGUAGGAUGAGCUCGCGGCCUAUCAGCUUGUUGGUGGGUUAAUGGCCUACCAAGGCGGCGACGGGUAGCCGGCCUGAGAGGGUGGACGGCCACAUUGGGACUGAGAUACGGCCCAGACUCCUACGGGAGGCAGCAGUGGGGAAUAUUGCACAAUGGGCGCAAGCCUGAUGCAGCGACGCCGCGUGGGGGAUGACGGCCUUCGGGUUGUAAACUCCUUUCGCUAGGGACGAAGCUUUUUGUGACGGUACCUAGAUAAGAAGCACCGGCUAACUACGUG
This 465-nucleotide ribosomal RNA is filed under the name uncultured bacterium. Its description in RNAcentral is "partial 16S ribosomal RNA". It matches the Rfam family "Bacterial small subunit ribosomal RNA", at positions 28 to 507 of the family's 1533-position model. The record is from RNAcentral.